Gossypium raimondii (Peruvian cotton) is the source of this 142-nucleotide non-coding RNA. Lineage: Eukaryota; Viridiplantae; Streptophyta; Magnoliopsida; Malvales; Malvaceae. The record is from Rfam.
UGUUAAAUUCAUUCAUUUCUACUGUUAAAAAUUGGCGUGGUUAACAGAAUAACUAGAUAAUUACACAUGCCGUGCCAUAUGUACCUCAUUCUGGCGUACAGGGAACAGGUUUUAACAAUAGAAAUGGAUAGAAUUUUUAACU